RNAcentral lists this ribosomal RNA (493 nucleotides) under uncultured bacterium. RNAcentral describes it as "partial 16S ribosomal RNA". It matches the Rfam family "Bacterial small subunit ribosomal RNA", at positions 28 to 507 of the family's 1533-position model. The record is from RNAcentral.
GACGAACGCUGGCGGGGUGCCUAACACAUGCAAGUUGAGCGACGAACCAGGGCUUGCCCUGGGGCAAAGCAGCGAACGGGUGAGUAACACGUGGGUAACCUACCCCGAUAACCGGGACAACCCGAGGAAACUCGGGCUAAUACCGGAUGUGCUCACUGGACUUCGGUUCAGUGCGUAAAGGAAGCUUCGGCCUCCGUAUCGGGAGGGGCCCGCGGCCCAUUAGUUUGUUGGUGAGGUAACGGCUCACCAAGACCGCGAUGGGUAGCUGGUCUGAGAGGACGAUCAGCCACACUGGGACUGAGACACGGCCCAGACUCCUACGGGAGGCAGCAGUGGGGAAUCUUGCGCAAUGCGCGAAAGCGUGACGCAGCAACGCCGCGUGGGGGAAGAAGGCCUUCGGGUUGUAAACCCCUUUCAGGAGGGACGAAGGUUCGGCGGUGAAUAGCCGUCCGGACUGACGGUACCUCCACAAGAAGCCCCGGCUAACUACGUG